Molecule: ribosomal RNA, 245 nt
Filed under: uncultured bacterium
Lineage: Bacteria
Description: partial 16S ribosomal RNA
Rfam family: Bacterial small subunit ribosomal RNA
Source: RNAcentral
AACCUACGGGGGGCAGCAGUGGGGAAUAUUGGACAAUGGGGGAAACCCUGAUCCAGCGACGCCGCGUGAGUGAAGAAGUAUUUCGGUACGUAAAGCUCUAUCAGCAGGAAAGAAAAUGACGGUACCUGACUAAGAAGCCCCGGCUAACUACGUGCCAGCAGCCGCGGUAAUACGUAGGGGGCAAGCGUUAUCCGGAUUUACUGGGUGUAAGGGGAGCGUAGACGGCAGCGCAAGUCUGGAGUGAA